CCAUGGAUCUCCGAUCGGGAAACCGUAUCCAAGCUCCGUGGCUAGUCUGCGCUCUUUGGACUUUUAAAACUUAGUGAACUGAAACAUCUGAAUAGCUAAAGGAAGGGAAAUCAACCGAGACCCCGUUAGUAGCGGCGAGCGAGAGUGGAUUGGGGGUUUGAAGAAAAACAAACGCGAAGCUUCGUUCCUCAGCAAAGUGUUCACUUCUUUUUCGCCAGGUUUCAUUCGAUUUGUUGUGGAUUGGAUGA
RNAcentral lists this non-coding RNA (248 nucleotides) under Gossypium arboreum. RNAcentral's name for it is "Bacterial large subunit ribosomal RNA". It matches the Rfam family "Bacterial large subunit ribosomal RNA", at positions 104 to 354 of the family's 2925-position model. The record is from Rfam by way of RNAcentral. Lineage: Eukaryota; Viridiplantae; Streptophyta; Magnoliopsida; Malvales; Malvaceae.